Molecule: ribosomal RNA, 498 nt
Filed under: uncultured bacterium
Lineage: Bacteria
Description: partial 16S ribosomal RNA
Rfam family: Bacterial small subunit ribosomal RNA
Source: RNAcentral
AGUGAACGCUGGCGGCAGGCCUAACACAUGCAAGUCGAGCGGCAGCGCGGGGCAACCUGGCGGCGAGCGGCGGACGGGUGAGGAAUACGUCGGAAUCUGCCUUUUUGUGGGGGAUAACGUAGGGAAACUUACGCUAAUACCGCAUACGACCUACGGGUGAAAGUGGGGGACCGCAAGGCCUCACGCAGAAAGAUGAGCCGACGUCCGAUUAGCUAGUUGGUGAGGUAAUGGCUCACCAAGGCGACGAUCGGUAGCUGGUCUGAGAGGAUGAUCAGCCACACUGGGACUGAGACACGGCCCAGACUCCUACGGGAGGCUGCAGUGGGGAAUAUUGGACAAUGGGCGCAAGCCUGAUCCAGCCAUGCCGCGUGUGUGAAGAAGGCCUUCGGGUUGUAAAGCACUUUUGUCCGGAAAGAAAUCCUGAAGAUUAAUACUCUUUGGGGAUGACGGUACCGGAAGAAUAAGCACCGGCUAACUUCGUGCCAGCCGCCGCGGUAA